This 200-nucleotide unclassified non-coding RNA is filed under the name Pleosporales sp. RNAcentral's name for it is "partial internal transcribed spacer 2". The record is from RNAcentral. Lineage: Eukaryota; Fungi; Ascomycota; Dothideomycetes; Pleosporales.
UUAAGUUCAGCGGGUAUCCCUACCUGAUCCGAGGUCAAAGACGGUAAAUAGCUUAUGGACGCGCCCACGGCACCCCAAUGAACGCAUUGUACUGCGCGUUGAGGUGCCAGAGACCGCUGCCAAUGACUUUGGGGCGAGUCCACGCGCGAAGGCGGGACAGACGCCCAACACCAAGCAGUGCUUGAGGGUGUAGAUGACGC